GACGAACGCUGGCGGCGUGCCUAAUACAUGCAAGUAGAACGCUGAAGGAGGAGCUUGCUUCUCUGGAUGAGUUGCGAACGGGUGAGUAACGCGUAGGUAACCUGCCUGGUAGCGGGGGAUAACUAUUGGAAACGAUAGCUAAUACCGCAUAAUAGCAGUUGUUGCAUGUUAACUGUUUGAAAGGUGCAAUUGCACCACUACCAGAUGGACCUGCGUUGUAUUAGCUAGUUGGUGGGGUAACGGCUCACCAAGGCGACGAUACAUAGCCGACCUGAGAGGGUGAUCGGCCACACUGGGACUGAGACACGGCCCAGACUCCUACGGGAGGCAGCAGUAGGGAAUCUUCGGCAAUGGACGGAAGUCUGACCGAGCAACGCCGCGUGAGUGAAGAAGGUUUUCGGAUCGUAAAGCUCUGUUGUAAGAGAAGAACGAGUGUGAGAGUGGAAAGUUCACACUGUGACGGUAUCUUACCAGAAAGGGACGGCUAACUACGUG
Molecule: ribosomal RNA, 495 nt
Filed under: uncultured bacterium
Lineage: Bacteria
Description: partial 16S ribosomal RNA
Rfam family: Bacterial small subunit ribosomal RNA
Source: RNAcentral